GAUGAACGCUAGCGGCAGGCUUAACACAUGCAAGUCGAGGGGUAACAGGGAAGAGCUUGCUUUUCCGCUGACGACCGGCGCACGGGUGAGUAACGCGUAUAGAACCUACCUUUUACAGGGGAAUAGCCCAGAGAAAUUUGGAUUAAUGCCCUAUAGUAUUAUUGAAUGGCAUCAUUUAGUAAUUAAACAUUUAUGGGUAAAAGAUGGCUAUGCGUUCUAUUAGCUAGAUGGUAAGGUAACGGCUUACCAUGGCAACGAUAGAUAGGGGUCCUGAGAGGGAGAUCCCCCACACUGGUACUGAGACACGGACCAGACUCCUACGGGAGGCAGCAGUGAGGAAUAUUGGACAAUGGAGGCAACUCUGAUCCAGCCAUGCCGCGUGCAGGAAGACGGCCCUAUGGGUUGUAAACUGCUUUUAUACGGGAAGAAACCCAACUACGUGUAGUUGGCUGACGGUACCGUAAGAAUAAGCACCGGCUAACUCCGUGCCAGCAGCCGCGGUAAUACGGGAGGGUGCAAGCGUUAUCCGGAAUCAUUGGGUUUAAAGGGUCCGUAGGGCGGGCUAAUAAGUCAGGGGUGAAAUCCAACAGCUUAACUGUUGAACUGCCUUUGAUACUGUUAGUCUUGAAUUAUAUGGAAGUAGAUAGAAUGUGUAGUGUAGCGGUGAAAUGCUUAGAGAUUACACAGAAUACCGAUUGCGAAGGCAGUCUACUACGUA
Molecule: ribosomal RNA, 718 nt
Filed under: Lutibacter sp.
Lineage: Bacteria; Pseudomonadati; Bacteroidota; Flavobacteriia; Flavobacteriales; Flavobacteriaceae
Description: bacterial SSU rRNA
Rfam family: Bacterial small subunit ribosomal RNA
Source: RNAcentral